RNAcentral lists this non-coding RNA (29 nucleotides) under Rattus norvegicus (Norway rat). The record is from RNAcentral. Lineage: Eukaryota; Metazoa; Chordata; Mammalia; Rodentia; Muridae.
UAGGCUUAGGGCUGAUUGAUCUCCCUCUC